Molecule: transfer RNA, 74 nt
Filed under: Candidatus Woesearchaeota archaeon
Lineage: Archaea; Nanobdellati; Candidatus Woesearchaeota
Description: tRNA-Cys
Rfam family: tRNA
About the family: Transfer RNA (tRNA) molecules are approximately 80 nucleotides in length.
Source: RNAcentral
GGGCACGUGUCCAAGUGGUUUAAGGAGACCGCCUGCAGAGCGGUUAUGCGCAGGUUCGAAUCCUGCCGUGCCCU